This is a long non-coding RNA of Carassius carassius (crucian carp), 434 nucleotides long. RefSeq lists it as uncharacterized. The record is from RefSeq and is a predicted model, not a curated record. Lineage: Eukaryota; Metazoa; Chordata; Actinopteri; Cypriniformes; Cyprinidae. The transcript has 2 exons.
AUUUCUUUUUAUUGUAUUAUAAUUCUGUGUUCUGUCAUUUAAAAGCAUCGUCUGGAUGGUAAAGUUUGUCUUUGGUAUUUAAAACAAACUUGUCAAUACAUUUGACUUUCUCUGUAAAGAUUUAUUUAUAUAUUUAUGUUUAUUAUUUUUCAGUGUUUUAACGUGUUUUUCUUUAUUUUUCAUGUUUAUGAUAUUUUGGAAUGACUGAAGAUCAGUGCAGAAUUCAGUAAUCCUGUGGAUGGACCGAAGCAAUUGCUUUUGCAGUUUAAUCCAUCAAAAUGCUUUGCAGACAUAAUGGAGAUGACAUUCACAUUGUAGAGCUUGGACAAAGUUCACACAGGCUCGGCGCAGGAACUCAUCAAGGACAUGACUGUUGGGAUCACGCUUGUGGAUGACCAAACUGAGCACCAUCAGUCUGCAGUGAUGUGGUCCAG